RNAcentral lists this ribosomal RNA (253 nucleotides) under uncultured bacterium. RNAcentral describes it as "partial 16S ribosomal RNA". It matches the Rfam family "Bacterial small subunit ribosomal RNA", at positions 524 to 776 of the family's 1533-position model. The record is from RNAcentral.
UACGUAGGUGGCAAGCGUUGUCCGGAUUUACUGGGCGUAAAGAGCGCGCAGGCGGUCGUUCAAGUCGCGUGUGAAAGCCCCCGGCUCAACUGGGGAGGGUCACGCGAUACUGAUCGACUCGAAGGCAGGAGAGGGUAGUGGAAUUCCCGGUGUAGUGGUGAAAUGCGUAGAUAUCGGGAGGAACACCGGUGGCGAAGGCGGCAUCCUGGACCAAUUCUGACGCUGAGGAGCGAAAGCCAGGGGAGCAAACGGG